RNAcentral lists this ribosomal RNA (498 nucleotides) under uncultured bacterium. RNAcentral's name for it is "partial 16S ribosomal RNA". It matches the Rfam family "Bacterial small subunit ribosomal RNA", at positions 28 to 523 of the family's 1533-position model. The record is from RNAcentral.
GAUGAACGCUAGCUACAGGCUUAACACAUGCAAGUCGAGGGGUAGCAGGGUAGCAAUACCGCUGACGACCGGCGCACGGGUGAGUAACACGUAUCCAACCUUCCCAUAACUCGGGGAUAGCCUUUCGAAAGAAAGAUUAAUACCCGAUAGUAAUUAAGAAAGGCAUCUUUUUUAAGUUAAAGAUUUAUUGGUUAUGGAUGGGGAUGCGUUCCAUUAGAUAGUUGGUGAGGUAACGGCUCACCAAGUCUUCGAUGGUUAGGGGUUCUGAGAGGAAGGUCCCCCACAUUGGUACUGAGACACGGACCAAACUCCUACGGGAGGCAGCAGUGAGGAAUAUUGGUCAAUGGGCGAGAGCCUGAACCAGCCAAGUAGCGUGAAGGAUGAAGGUCCUAUGGAUUGUAAACUUCUUUUAUAGUAGAAUAAAGUGACCCACGUGUGGAUUUUUGUAUGUAUACUAUGAAUAAGGAUCGGCUAACUCCGUGCCAGCAGCCGCCGUAA